CCUCAAAUUCCUCCACAGAAUUUAGUCCUCAAAGCUCUCCAGUUGUGUCUGGUAUGAUCAGUGCUCCUGUCCCCAGAGCUGCCGCAUGCUCUGGGAGGUUUUCGUUUUCAGCUCAUCAAAAUCCGAGUGCGAUGCCUCCUGCAUGGCGAUAGCCUCCGUCUGCUGGGCACACGCGGCGUUGCUUUCCAGACGCCUGUCCUGUGCUAAUUCCAACCUGGAUGCCACCAGAACUCUACAAACCAAGAGGAUGCAAAAGUAUGGCUUUGCUGCCGUGCCUGCACCGGGAGAGCCUGGAUACAACCACGAGCCAGCGGCGGCCGAGGUGCUGGUGCAGUAAAGGUUAUGCUCCCCAGGAGUGGGUGGGAGCAGGCACGAGGUUUGCUUUGCAGAGUACACAGCCUUGUUUGAUGUUCGGGGCUCCUCCGCCAUCCUCCUGUACAGCCGUCCUCAUGGGCCGGGUGGUUCAGUAAGAGCACCAGAGAAAACAGGCUCUGAAGGAGGCAAGAGUUGUCACCGUGACAUCGUGCGGCAUCCAGGGGCUUGUCGCGGUGCAAGGCAGCCAGCACUGCCCAUCAGCAUGGCCUCAGGCCCCAGGGCAAAAGACCCCCGUCUCUGCCCGUCCUCGCUGUUUCACUGGGCAGAAGUAUUUGUGGAAAUAGCGCUGCUUUGCUGUUCAACGCGGUGCUUAAAACAAACUGGUCUUCCUAAUUUCACACCCGCUGACGUGAUGUGCAGAAGGUGCCUGGCAGCUCCCGUCUGCAAAACAAAGAAGAGCAGGAAACGUGAGCAGCCUCCACUUUCAAAGAAAAUUCAUUUUGGUGUUGAGGCACACGUUUAUUCCGGAAGAAAUCAUCAAGGGGGUUGCUAAAAAUAGAUUUGAAAUUACGGCGGAGAAUAAAGCGAUGCCACCCGUUUCCCUCCCCUUUGAG
Molecule: long non-coding RNA, 929 nt
Filed under: Anser brachyrhynchus (Pink-footed goose)
Lineage: Eukaryota; Metazoa; Chordata; Aves; Anseriformes; Anatidae
Description: lncRNA (ENSABRG00000018170.1)
Source: RNAcentral